RNAcentral lists this ribosomal RNA (2902 nucleotides) under Klebsiella pneumoniae. RNAcentral describes it as "23S ribosomal RNA". It matches the Rfam family "Bacterial large subunit ribosomal RNA". Lineage: Bacteria; Pseudomonadati; Pseudomonadota; Gammaproteobacteria; Enterobacterales; Enterobacteriaceae. The record is from RNAcentral.
GGUUAAGCGACUAAGCGUACACGGUGGAUGCCCUGGCAGUCAGAGGCGAUGAAGGACGUGCUAAUCUGCGAAAAGCGUCGGUAAGGUGAUAUGAACCGUUAUAGCCGGCGAUGUCCGAAUGGGGAAACCCAGUGUGAUUCGUCACACUAUCGUUAACUGAAUACAUAGGUUAACGAGGCGAACCGGGGGAACUGAAACAUCUAAGUACCCCGAGGAAAAGAAAUCAACCGAGAUUCCCCCAGUAGCGGCGAGCGAACGGGGAGCAGCCCAGAGUCUGAAUCAGCUUGUGUGUUAGUGGAACGGUCUGGAAAGUCCGACGGUACAGGGUGAUAGUCCCGUACACCAAAAUGCACAGGCUGUGAACUCGAAGAGUAGGGCGGGACACGUGGUAUCCUGUCUGAAUAUGGGGGGACCAUCCUCCAAGGCUAAAUACUCCUGACUGACCGAUAGUGAACCAGUACCGUGAGGGAAAGGCGAAAAGAACCCCGGCGAGGGGAGUGAAAAAGAACCUGAAACCGUGUACGUACAAGCAGUGGGAGCACCUUCGGGUGUGACUGCGUACCUUUUGUAUAAUGGGUCAGCGACUUAUAUUCUGUAGCAAGGUUAACCGUAUAGGGGAGCCGCAGGGAAACCGAGUCUUAACUGGGCGUUAAGUUGCAGGGUAUAGACCCGAAACCCGGUGAUCUAGCCAUGGGCAGGUUGAAGGUUGGGUAACACUAACUGGAGGACCGAACCGACUAAUGUUGAAAAAUUAGCGGAUGACUUGUGGCUGGGGGUGAAAGGCCAAUCAAACCGGGAGAUAGCUGGUUCUCCCCGAAAGCUAUUUAGGUAGCGCCUCGUGAACUCAUCUUCGGGGGUAGAGCACUGUUUCGGCUAGGGGGUCAUCCCGACUUACCAACCCGAUGCAAACUACGAAUACCGAAGAAUGUUAUCACGGGAGACACACGGCGGGUGCUAACGUCCGUCGUGAAGAGGGAAACAACCCAGACCGCCAGCUAAGGUCCCAAAGUCAUGGUUAAGUGGGAAACGAUGUGGGAAGGCACAGACAGCCAGGAUGUUGGCUUAGAAGCAGCCAUCAUUUAAAGAAAGCGUAAUAGCUCACUGGUCGAGUCGGCCUGCGCGGAAGAUGUAACGGGGCUAAACCAUGCACCGAAGCUGCGGCAGCGACACUAUGUGUUGUUGGGUAGGGGAGCGUUCUGUAAGCCUGCGAAGGUGUGCUGUGAGGCAUGCUGGAGGUAUCAGAAGUGCGAAUGCUGACAUAAGUAACGAUAAAGCGGGUGAAAAGCCCGCUCGCCGGAAGACCAAGGGUUCCUGUCCAACGUUAAUCGGGGCAGGGUGAGUCGACCCCUAAGGCGAGGCCGAAAGGCGUAGUCGAUGGGAAACAGGUUAAUAUUCCUGUACUUGGUGUUACUGCGAAGGGGGGACGGAGAAGGCUAUGUUAGCCGGGCGACGGUUGUCCCGGUUUAAGCAUGUAGGCUGGUUGUCCAGGCAAAUCCGGAUAAUCAAGGCUGAGGUGUGAUGACGAGGCACUACGGUGCUGAAGUAACAAAUGCCCUGCUUCCAGGAAAAGCCUCUAAGCAUCAGGUAACAUUAAAUCGUACCCCAAACCGACACAGGUGGUCAGGUAGAGAAUACCAAGGCGCUUGAGAGAACUCGGGUGAAGGAACUAGGCAAAAUGGUGCCGUAACUUCGGGAGAAGGCACGCUGGUGUGUAGGUGAAGUCCCUGCGGAUGGAGCUGAGACCAGUCGAAGAUACCAGCUGGCUGCAACUGUUUAUUAAAAACACAGCACUGUGCAAACACGAAAGUGGACGUAUACGGUGUGACGCCUGCCCGGUGCCGGAAGGUUAAUUGAUGGGGUUAUCCGUAAGGAGAAGCUCUUGAUCGAAGCCCCGGUAAACGGCGGCCGUAACUAUAACGGUCCUAAGGUAGCGAAAUUCCUUGUCGGGUAAGUUCCGACCUGCACGAAUGGCGUAAUGAUGGCCAGGCUGUCUCCACCCGAGACUCAGUGAAAUUGAACUCGCUGUGAAGAUGCAGUGUACCCGCGGCAAGACGGAAAGACCCCGUGAACCUUUACUAUAGCUUGACACUGAACAUUGAGCCUUGAUGUGUAGGAUAGGUGGGAGGCUUUGAAGCGUGGACGCCAGUCUGCGUGGAGCCAACCUUGAAAUACCACCCUUUAAUGUUUGAUGUUCUAACGUUGGCCCCUUACCGGGGUUGCGGACAGUGUCUGGUGGGUAGUUUGACUGGGGCGGUCUCCUCCCAAAGCGUAACGGAGGAGCACGAAGGUUAGCUAAUCCUGGUCGGACAUCAGGAGGUUAGUGCAAUGGCAUAAGCUAGCUUGACUGCGAGCGUGACGGCGCGAGCAGGUGCGAAAGCAGGUCAUAGUGAUCCGGUGGUUCUGAAUGGAAGGGCCAUCGCUCAACGGAUAAAAGGUACUCCGGGGAUAACAGGCUGAUACCGCCCAAGAGUUCAUAUCGACGGCGGUGUUUGGCACCUCGAUGUCGGCUCAUCACAUCCUGGGGCUGAAGUAGGUCCCAAGGGUAUGGCUGUUCGCCAUUUAAAGUGGUACGCGAGCUGGGUUUAGAACGUCGUGAGACAGUUCGGUCCCUAUCUGCCGUGGGCGCUGGAGAAUUGAGGGGGGCUGCUCCUAGUACGAGAGGACCGGAGUGGACGCAUCACUGGUGUUCGGGUUGUCAUGCCAAUGGCACUGCCCGGUAGCUAAAUGCGGAAGAGAUAAGUGCUGAAAGCAUCUAAGCACGAAACUUGCCCCGAGAUGAGUUCUCCCUGAGACUUUAAGUCUCCUGAAGGAACGUUAAAGACGAUGACGUUGAUAGGCCGGGUGUGUAAGCGCAGCGAUGCGUUGAGCUAACCGGUACUAAUGAACCGUGAGGCUUAACCUU